Molecule: ribosomal RNA, 572 nt
Filed under: uncultured fungus
Lineage: Eukaryota; Fungi
Description: eukaryotic LSU rRNA
Rfam family: Eukaryotic large subunit ribosomal RNA
Source: RNAcentral
AAACCAACAGGGAUUACCUCAGUAACGGCGAGUGAAGCGGUAACAGCUCAAAUUUGAAAUCUGGGCCUUUCAGGCUCCGAGUUGUAAUUUGUAGAAGAUGCUUCGGGUGCGGCUCCGGUCUAAGUUCCUUGGAACAGGACGUCAUAGAGGGUGAGAAUCCCGUAUGUGAUCGGUUGCUUGCGCCCAUGUGAAGCUCUUUCGACGAGUCGAGUUGUUUGGGAAUGCAGCUCAAAAUGGGUGGUAAAUUUCAUCUAAAGCUAAAUAUUGGCCAGAGACCGAUAGCGCACAAGUAGAGUGAUCGAAAGAUGAAAAGCACUUUGGAAAGAGAGUUAAACAGUACGUGAAAUUGUUGAAAGGGAAGCGCUUGCAACCAGACUUGCGCGUUGCCGAUCAUCCGGGGUUCUCCCCGGUGCACUCGGCCUCGCUCAGGCCAGCAUCGGUUUUGGUGGUGGGAUAAAGGCCUUGGGAAUGUAGCUCCUUUCGGGGAGUGUUAUAGCCCUCGGUGCAAUGCCGCCUACCGGGACCGAGGACCGCGCUUCGGCUAGGAUGCUGGCGUAAUGGUUGUAAGCGAC